Molecule: ribosomal RNA, 433 nt
Filed under: uncultured bacterium
Lineage: Bacteria
Description: partial 16S ribosomal RNA
Rfam family: Bacterial small subunit ribosomal RNA
Source: RNAcentral
AACGAACGCUGGCGGCAUGCCUAACACAUGCAAGUCGAACGAGACCUUCGGGUCUAGUGGCGCACGGGUGCGUAACGCGUGGGAACCUGCCCUUAGGUUCGGAAUAACUCCCCGAAAGGGGUGCUAAUACCGGAUAAUGUCUUCGGACCAAAGAUUUAUCGCCUUUGGAUGGGCCCGCGUUGGAUUAGCUAGUUGGUAGGGUAAAAGCCUACCAAGGCGACGAUCCAUAGCUGGUCUGAGAGGAUGAUCAGCCACACUGGGACUGAGACACGGCCCAGACUCCUACGGGAGGCAGCAGUGGGGAAUAGUGGACAAUGGGCGAAAGCCUGAUCCAGCAAUGCCGCGUGAGUGAUGAAGGCCUUAGGGUUGUAAAGCUCUUUUACCCGGGAUGAUAAUGACAGUACCGGGAGAAUAAGCCCCGGCUAACUACGUG